UUGACCUCGGAUCAGGUAGGGAUACCCGCUGAACUUAAGCAUAUCAAUAAGCGGAGGAAAAGAAACCAACCGGGAUUGCCUCAGUAACGGCGAGUGAAGCGGCAAGAGCUCAAAUUUGAAAUCUGGCCCCUCCGGGUCCGAGUUGUAAUUUGUAGAGGAUGCUUCGGGUGCGGCCCCCGUCUAAGUGCCCUGGAACGGGCCAUCGGAGAGGGUGAGAAUCCCGUCUGGGACGGGGUGUCCGCGUCCAUGUGAAGCUCCUUCGACGAGUCGAGUUGUUUGGGAAUGCAGCUCUAAAUGGGUGGUAAAUUUCAUCUAAAGCUAAAUACUGGCCGGAGACCGAUAGCGCACAAGUAGAGUGAUCGAAAGAUGAAAAGCACUUUGAAAAGAGAGUUAAACAGCACGUGAAAUUGUUGAAAGGGAAGGCGCUUGCGACCAGACUCGCUUCCGGGGUUCAGCCGGCUUUCGGGCCGGUGUACUUCCCCGGGGGCGGGCCAGCGUCGGUUUGGGCGGCCGGUCAAAGGCCCCUGGAAUGUAACGCUCUCGGGGCGCCUUAUAGCCAGGGGUGUCAUGCGGCCAGCCUGGACCGA
RNAcentral lists this ribosomal RNA (587 nucleotides) under Aspergillus amstelodami. RNAcentral's name for it is "eukaryotic LSU rRNA". It matches the Rfam family "Eukaryotic large subunit ribosomal RNA", at positions 1 to 591 of the family's 3401-position model. The record is from RNAcentral. Lineage: Eukaryota; Fungi; Ascomycota; Eurotiomycetes; Eurotiales; Aspergillaceae.